Molecule: ribosomal RNA, 322 nt
Filed under: uncultured eukaryote
Lineage: Eukaryota
Description: partial 18S ribosomal RNA
Rfam family: Eukaryotic small subunit ribosomal RNA
Source: RNAcentral
CCCUUAGAUGUCCUGGGCCGCACGCGCGCUACACUGACAUGUUCAACAAGUUUCUCCUAGUUCGACAGGACUGGGGAAUCUUUGAACGCAUGUCGUGAUAGGGAUAGAUCAUUGCAAUUAUUGAUCUUGAACGAGGAAUUCCUAGUAAACGCGAGUCAUCAGCUCGCAUUGAUUACGUCCCUGCCCUUUGUACACACCGCCCGUCGCACCUACCGAUUGAAUGUUUCGGUGAAGAUUCCGGAUAGGACUGAUUUGAUUUAUUUCAUUUCUGACCUAAAAGCUAUCUAAACCUCAACAUUUAGAGGAAGGUGAAGUCGUAACA